Molecule: long non-coding RNA, 922 nt
Organism: Clupea harengus (Atlantic herring)
Lineage: Eukaryota; Metazoa; Chordata; Actinopteri; Clupeiformes; Clupeidae
Source: Ensembl
CACACUCCCAGAGGGCAUUCAGGGACAUCUCACCUGCUCAGCCAGAAACAGCAUCAGCAGCGCCAACGAAACCCAACUGCUACCCUCCUGCAUAACCACCCCAGCACCACCUGUCUCCACACCUCCACAUCACCUCAACUCUACUGUAUCUGUGACAACCAUGGUAACUAACACCACGGUUGGGCCACUGUCUGAAUCAGUCAUCAUUCUUGGAGCAGUUCUGGGAGGUGUUGUGUUUCUGUGUGUGUUCAUGGCAGUGUUUUGCAUCUGCAAAAAGAAGAAGAAAGACAUACCCACAAUAGCUAACAGCUACGAGGUGGAGUAUGCAGAAGUGUCCUUCAAGAAGAGGAGGGAGACUGAGGAGAGGAGAAAAUUGGCGGAGACUGUGGACUACGGAGAGGUGACCUUCCGGAAGAAGGGGGAGACUGAAGAGAAGAGAACAUUGGCGGAGACGGUGGACUACGGAGAGGUGACCUUCCGGAAGAAGGGGGAAACUGAGGAGAAGAGAACAUUGGCGGAGACGGUGGACUACGGAGAGGUCAGACUACCAAAACCUACCUGCAACACACAGCAGGAGGACAGUGUGUAUGCGCAGGUGCGCAGAGGACAGUGACAGGACACUGUCUCUCUGUGUGUGUUUGUGUGUGUGUGAGAGUGUAUGUGACUCUAUGUGUGGGUGUGUGUGUGCGUAUGUGUGUGUGAGAGUGUAUGUUACUUUAUGUGUGUGUGUGUGUGUGUGUGUGUGUGUGUGUGUGUGUGUGUGUGUGUGUCCCCAAACCCAAUCAUGUCAGCAGCUCAGAGACAAAGUGAGGGAGAGAGAGAGAGUUUGUGUUGCAUAUAUAUUAGUGCUGUCAGUUUAACGCGUUAUUAACGGCGUUAACGCAAACCCAUUUUAACGCCGUUAAUUUUUUUAUCGCGAGAU